CAGCAAAAUCGUGUCGUCAAAUAAACAAAAUGUAAAGCAGUCAGUAUUAUUCAAAGAUGGGAUAUUCAUAGAGAAAUUACCUCUCUAUAAUGCUUUGGCAAAAUAUUUAUCAAUUGCAAUUCAAAUAACUGUUAUUGAAGCAAACAACAAUAGAGAUGGGAAUUCGGAGCGAGAACGGGAUUGGGAAGGAGAUUAAGGAAAGUCGGGUAACGGGAAGUGGGAUGCCAAGGUCCCGGAAGCAAGGGAUGUGUGACCUAAUUCAGGAAAAUAGUUCCGUCGCCGUCGCUACAGGGCGCAGGAGAGUUAUGUGGUCUUAUGACAGCAUCGGUGACGUUUGCACAUCAUAGAUAUCACCACGAGACGCCUCCGACCGCCAUAUUGAUUCUUCUGAUGCCACACCAAACGACACUUUACCCCAAAUUCAGAUAACUUGUGCUUCUCCUCCAGGAGGAAAAAGCUUGCAGAUAAAUUAACUUUGUAGAUUAGCUCCAAUUUUGAAACAUAGUUUAAUACAGUGUUAGGUUCGAGUGUUGGCGAAAAGUGGCAUUUUCUAGAUGAAUUUCCUUCAGUGGUCACAUUAGCAUGGACAUAUUUCUAAUGGAAUAUUCAUAUUCCACUUAACAGGACCAUUUAAUGCAUAUGGAUAUCUUACACUUCAUGCCUGCCUUCAACCGCAGCUCGCACACAAAUCACCAAAAUUAUUAUCCGAGAAUCAAUUCGCUCUGCAUAUGCUGGACGAUAACGACAGACCAAAAACUCAAAAUUUAGUGACCACGCAAUCAAAUGCAGAUGAUUUCUGCAAUUGAUUUUGCAUUUACAAUUGUAUCUCCAAAUAAUUAUAUGAUUUUUGUUUUUUUUUUUGACCAUUUUUCUUAGCAAAUAAACAGUGAGAUGCCA
Tribolium madens (black flour beetle) is the source of this 897-nucleotide long non-coding RNA. RefSeq lists it as uncharacterized. The record is from RefSeq and is a predicted model, not a curated record. NCBI's taxonomy places the organism in Eukaryota, Metazoa, Arthropoda, Insecta, Coleoptera, Tenebrionidae. The transcript is spliced from 2 exons.